UACAGAGGGGGCAAGCGUUGUUCGGAAUUACUGGGCGUAAAGGGCGCGUAGGCGGCCCGCUAAGUCGAACGUGAAAUCCCCGAGCUCAACUCGGGAACUGCGUCCGAUACUGGUGGGCUUGAAUCCGGGAGAGGGAUGCGGAAUUCCAGGUGUAGCGGUGAGAUGCGUAGAUAUCUGGAGGAACACCGGUGGCGAAGGCGGCAUCCUGGACCGGUAUUGACACUGAGGCGCGAAAGCCAGGGGAGCAAACGGG
Molecule: ribosomal RNA, 253 nt
Filed under: uncultured bacterium
Lineage: Bacteria
Description: partial 16S ribosomal RNA
Rfam family: Bacterial small subunit ribosomal RNA
Source: RNAcentral